RNAcentral lists this ribosomal RNA (404 nucleotides) under uncultured Lachnospiraceae bacterium. RNAcentral describes it as "bacterial SSU rRNA". It matches the Rfam family "Bacterial small subunit ribosomal RNA", at positions 355 to 776 of the family's 1533-position model. Lineage: Bacteria; Bacillati; Bacillota; Clostridia; Lachnospirales; Lachnospiraceae. The record is from RNAcentral.
UGGGGAAUAUUGCACAAUGGGGGAAACCCUGAUGCAGCGACGCCGCGUGAACGAAGAAGUAUUUCGGUAUGUAAAGUUCUAUCAGCAGGGAAGAUAAUGACGGUACCUGACUAAGAAGCACCGGCUAAAUACGUGCCAGCAGCCGCGGUAAUACGUAUGGUGCAAGCGUUAUCCGGAUUUACUGGGUGUAAAGGGUGCGUAGGCGGCAUGGCAAGUCAGAAGUGAAAUGUAGGGGCUCAACCCCUAAACUGCUUUUGAAACUGUCAGGCUUGAGUGCAGGAGAGGAAAGCGGAAUUCCUAGUGUAGCGGUGAAAUGCGUAGAUAUUAGGAGGAACACCAGUGGCGAAGGCGGCUUUCUGGACUGUAACUGACGCUGAGGCACGAAAGCGUGGGGAGCAAACAGG